This 770-nucleotide ribosomal RNA is filed under the name uncultured bacterium. Its description in RNAcentral is "bacterial SSU rRNA". It matches the Rfam family "Bacterial small subunit ribosomal RNA", at positions 31 to 808 of the family's 1533-position model. The record is from RNAcentral.
GAACGUUGGCGGCGUGGAUUAGGCAUGCAAGUCGUGCGAGAAGUCUUUUGCUUGCAUUAGACGGACAGCGGCGAAAGGGAGAGUAACGCGUGGAUACCUACCUCCAGAUCAGGGAUAGCUGCGGGAAACUGCAGGUAAUACCUGAUAAUGUCCCCGGACCAAAGGUGAGAUUCCGUCUGGAGACGGAUCCGCGUCCUAUUAGCUUGUUGGUGGGGUAACGGCCUACCAAGGCAACGAUGGGUACCGGGCGUGAGAGCGUGACCCGGCUCACUGGGACUGAGACACUGCCCAGACACCUACGGGUGGCUGCAGUCGAGAAUCUUCGGCAAUGGACGAAAGUCUGACCGAGCGACGCCGCGUGCGGGAUGAAGGCCUUCGGGUUGUAAACCGCUGUCAGUUGGGAGGAAAUCACAUGGGGUCAUCCCCAUGUGUUGACCUAUCUUCAGAGGAAGGACGGGCUAAGUUCGUGCCAGCAGCCGCGGUAAGACGAACCGUCCAAACGUUAUUCGGAAUUACUGGGCUUAAAGGGUGCGUAGGCGGUGCUGUAAGUUGGGUGUGAAAUCCCUCGGCUCAACCGAGGAAUUGCGCCCAAUACUGCAGUACUAGAGGGAGACAGAGGUGAGCGGAACUUGUGGUGGAGCGGUGAAAUGCGUUGAUAUCACAAGGAACACCUGUGGCGAAAGCGGCUCACUGGGUCUCUUCUGACGCUGAGGCACGAAAGCUGGGGGAGCGAACGGGAUUAGAUACCCCGGUAGUCCCAGCUGUAAACG